UACGUAGGUGGCGAGCGUUGUCCGGAUUUACUGGGCGUAAAGCGCGCGUAGGUGGCUUGGCAAGUCCUGUCGUGAAAGGUUGCGGCCCAACUGCAACACUGCGGACGAUACUGCCAGGCUUGAGGGCAGCAGAGGUCGGUGGAAUUCCCGGUGGAGUGGUGAAAUGCGUAGAUAUCGGGAGGAACACCAGAGGCGAAGGCGGCCGACUGGGCUGUACCUGACGCUGAGGCGCGAAAGCGUGGGGAGCGAACCGGAUUAGAUACCCGGGUAGUCCACGCCCUAAACGGUGGCAACUAGGUGUGGGGGGUAUCGACCCCCUCCGUGCCGCAGCUAACGCGUUAAGUUGCCCGCCUGGGGACUACGGCCGCAAGGUUAAA
Molecule: ribosomal RNA, 377 nt
Filed under: uncultured bacterium
Lineage: Bacteria
Description: bacterial SSU rRNA
Rfam family: Bacterial small subunit ribosomal RNA
Source: RNAcentral